Long non-coding RNA from Chenopodium quinoa (quinoa), 1528 nucleotides. RefSeq lists it as uncharacterized. The record is from RefSeq and is a predicted model, not a curated record. NCBI's taxonomy places the organism in Eukaryota, Viridiplantae, Streptophyta, Magnoliopsida, Caryophyllales, Amaranthaceae. The transcript has 3 exons.
UUUUUUUCCGAUUUUGUUCAAAUUUUCAUGAAAAACGCAUGAUGUUCAACUAGAUUUUGCGAUUUUUCAAUUUGAUUUUUCCGAUUUUAAUUCGAUUUUUGUGAUUUGAUUUAUGCGAUUUUCAGAUUUUUAAUUUUCGAUUUUAUUUGGCAAUUUUAUCAAAUUUUUUUUCCUGCGAUUUUGUUCGAUUUCUUGUGCGAUUUGCGUGUUUUGUUCAUCAAUUUUGUUUGAUUUCCAGUGCGAUUUUGUGACUUUUGCUCAUCAAUUUUUUCGACUUUUUUUCAUCAAUUUUGUUCGAUUUCCUGUUUGAUUUCGCUUGGUUUUUGUUCGUUUUCAUUUGUGAUUUUUGUUCAAUGGCAAAAACCUUAUGUUCCUGGGUUACUUGAUGAAGUGAGAAUAGGUCAGAAUGUUGUUGUCAUUUCUUGUAAAUUGAAAUUGCUAUCUGUGGAUACUACAUUCAGAAAUGGAGAGGCAACAAUAAAAGCCUUUGUUUCUGUUAGUUUGUCUCUUGGAGACCAGCCGCUUGCUGCUCAAUUUCAGGAAAUUCCUGCAGAGCUUCGGAUGUCAGAAGCUGAGAGGGUUGGAUAUGAACUUUUGAAAUCAACUGUGGCGGACAAAAUUCCAAGUGAUUUGGAAGGCAUGGAAAGUACUCUGGAGAGGUUGCUGGCUUUAAUUGAAAUGGACCAAAGCAAACCUGAUUUGAAAUGGAUUAACGCAAUUCCUAUCAACAAGAACACAUCAAGUUAUGGCCUUUUAAUUUGAAGUUGAUUAGAAAGUGAAAUUAGCCUAACAGCCUUACCAAAAGAUGACCAUCACCUCAAGUAUGACCCCACCUGUAUUUGAAUUGACCCUACUACUACUGCUUGAAGUUAUGCUAUGCCUAAUAGUGGCAAAAGUUAUACAGUUUAUAAAGUAUAUAAUGUAUGAUAUUGGUGUUUGAUUCACUAAUGCCUAGUAAUGGCAAAAGUUAUACAAUUUAUAAAGUAUAUAAUGUAUGAUAUUGGUGUUUGACUCACUAAUGCCUAAUAAUGGCAAAAGUUAUACAGUCUAUAAAGUAUAUAAUGCAUGAUAUUGGUGUUUGGUUCACUAGUCCUCUUUGGCUUUGGUGGUGGCUUUCAAGAUUCUUGAAACCAGAGGUCUAGGGUUCAAGGACUAGUGGAAAAACAGCUACAGAGGAAAGAUACUAGAUGAGUGCAAGUUCUGUGGCAGGGAGGGUACUAUUACAAUGAUACCAAAAUCUGGCCGCUAUCUAACAGGUGAUGACUGUGAAGCUGGAAAGUUUGUCCGUUUGAUGAGCUCUAGCUUUGACUGCCGGGGUUUGGAGCCAGUGGACUACUCCUUUGGUGGUGACAAGGAGGAGUGGGAGAAAUUAUCUGAUGACAAGUAGGAGCAUGAGAAAUUAUCUGAUGACAAGGAGGCCGGAGAAGGAGAAGUUAUCUGAUGAUAGUUACCUUACUUUUGUAAAUAGUGACAUCUAUAAAAAUGUGGUCAAUGUUGUCAAAAUUUAUAUAAUUACCUUAUUUUUAUA